Molecule: ribosomal RNA, 2021 nt
Filed under: human gut metagenome
Description: bacterial LSU rRNA
Rfam family: Bacterial large subunit ribosomal RNA
Source: RNAcentral
UUAUGCUAGAAAGAGCGCAGGGUGGAUGCCUUGGCACUAAGAGCCGAUGAAAGACGUGAUAAGCUGCGAAAAGCUUCGGGGAGGAGCAAAUAUCCGAUGAUCCGGAGAUAUCUGAAUGGGGAAACCCGGCUGGACAGACUCCAGUCAUCCAUACGCCAAUCCAUAACGUAUGGAAGGGAACCCGGUGAACUGAAACAUCUAAGUAGCCGGAGGAAGAGAAAACAACAAGUGAUUCUGUGAGUAGCGGCGAGCGAAAACGGAAGAGCCCAAACCGGAAUGCGUGCAUUCCGGGGUUCGGACCGCGUAAUUGAUCUGAUAAGUUUAGCAGAAUGGUUUUGGGAAAGCCAGCCAGAGAGGGUGAAAGCCCCGUAAGCGAAAGACGAGUCAGCAAGGCGGGAUCCAGAGUACCACGAGACACGAGAAACCUUGUGGGAAUGAGCGGGGACCACCCCGUAAGGCUAAAUACUCCUUAGUGACCGAUAGCGCAUAGUACUGUGAAGGAAAGGUGAAAAGGACCCCGGGAGGGGAGUGAAAGAGAACCUGAAACCCUGUGUUUACAAGCUGUGGAACAUCUAUAUAUGAUGAACCGCGUACUUUUUGUAGAACGGUCCGGCGAGUUACGCCAUCUGGCGAGGUUAAGUUCUUAAGGAAUGGAGCCGAAGUGAAAACAAGUCUUAAUAGGGCGUUAAGUCAGAUGGAGUAGACCCGAAACCGGGUGAUCUAUCCAUGUCCAGGAUGAAGUUGCCGUAAAAGGCAAUGGAGGUCCGAACCCACAUCCGUUGAAAAGGGUGGGGAUGAGGUGUGGAUAGGGGAGAAAUUCCAAUCGAACCCGGAGAUAGCUGGUUCUCCUCGAAAUAGCUUUAGGGCUAGCCUCAUGAGAGUCUUUUGGAGGUAGAGCACUGAAUUCCCGCGGGGGCGUCAAAGCUUACCAAAGGAUAUCAAACUCCGAAUGCCAGUAAGAUGAUUCAUGGGAGUCAGACUGCACGAGAUAAGUUGGGUAGUCAAAAGGGAAAGAGCCCAGACCUGCAGCUAAGGUCCCAAAAUGUGUGUUAAGUGGAAAAGGAUGUGGGAUUUCAAAGACAACCAGGAUGUUGGCUUAGAAGCAGCCAUACAUUAAAAGAGUGCGUAAUAGCUCACUGGUCGAGAGGUCCUGCGCCGAAAAUGUCCGGGGCUGAAACACACUACCGAAGCUCAGGAAUUAACGUAGUUAAUUGGUAGAGGAGCAUUCUUAAAGGGAAGAAGCAGUACCGGAAGGAGCUGUGGACUUUUAAGAAGAGAGAAUGCCGGAAUGAGUAGCGAGAGGAAGGUGAGAAUCCUUCCGGCCGAAUACCCAAGGUUUCCAGAGUAAAGCUGAUCUGCUCUGGGUAAGUCGGGGCCUAAGGUGAGGUCGAAAGACGUAGCCGAUGGACAACAGGUUGAAAUUCCUGUACUGCAGUAUAACAGAACUGUGGGGACGCAGAGGGAGAGCACUAGCGGGAAUGGAAUCCCGUGGCAAGCGAGGUAGGAGUAGAGUUGGCAAAUCCGCUCUAUAAUCCGAAGACGUGAUGCAUACCGAACUGAAGUAGGGAAAUGUGUGAGCCAGCUGCCAAGAAAAGCCGCUAUUGUUUGUACUGUACCCGUACCGUAAACCGACACAGGUAGGUGAGGAGAGAAUCCUAAGGCCGACGGGAGAAGCAUUGUUAAGGAACUCGGCAAAAUGACUCCGUAACUUCGGGAGAAGGAGUGCCAGUGAGAGCUGGCCGCAGAGAAUUGGCCCAAGCAACUGUUUAGCAAAAACACAGGUCUAUGCAAAACCGUAAGGUGAAGUAUAUGGGCUGACGCCUGCCCGGUGCUGGAAGGUUAAGGGGAGAGGUUAGCGCAAGCGAAGCUUUGAACUUAAGCCCCAGUAAACGGCGGCCGUAACUAUAACGGUCCUAAGGUAGCGAAAUUCCUUGUCGGGUAAGUUCCGACCCGCACGAAAGGCGUAAUGAUUUGGGCACUGUCUCAACAAUGCACCCGGUGAAAUUGAAAUACCAGUGAAG